This 371-nucleotide ribosomal RNA is filed under the name uncultured organism. Its description in RNAcentral is "bacterial SSU rRNA". It matches the Rfam family "Bacterial small subunit ribosomal RNA", at positions 526 to 896 of the family's 1533-position model. The record is from RNAcentral.
CGUAGGGGCAAGCGUUGUCCGGAUUUAUUGGGCGUAAAGAGCGUGUAGGCGGCCAGAUAGGUCAGCUGUGAAAACUCGAGGCUCAACCUCGAGAUGUCGGCUGAAACCAUCUGGCUAGAGUCCGGAAGAGGAGAAUGGAAUUCCCGGUGUAGCGGUGAAAUGCGCAGAUAUCGGGAAGAACACCCGUGGCGAAGGCGGUUCUCUGGGACGGUACUGACGCUGAGACGCGAAAGCGUGGGGAGCGAACAGGAUUAGAUACCCUGGUAGUCCACGCCGUAAACGAUGGGAACUAGGUGUGGGCGGUGUCGACUCCGUCCGUGCCGAAGCUAACGCAUUAAGUUCCCCGCCUGGGGAGUACGGCCGCAAGGCUA